GUCGUGGAGGUGGCGGAUCGAGGAGGAAAUAACGCGGCUUCGGGUUCUGGUGUCUCCCGGUCUGCUAAAGCCCUAAGGCCAUCACCAUGGACUUCCAGCAUCGCCCCGGGGGCAAGACCGGGAGCGGGGGUGUGGCCUCCUCCUCCGAGAGCAACCGUGACCGCAGGGAGCGCCUCCGGCAGCUGGCCCUGGAGACCAUCGACAUCAACAAGGACCCGUACUUCAUGAAGAACCACCUGGGCUCCUAUGAAUGCAAGCUCUGCCUGACGCUUCACAACAAUGAGGGGAGCUACCUGGCACAUACCCAGGGGAAGAAGCACCAGACCAACCUGGCCCGGCGAGCAGCCAAGGAGGCCAAGGAGGCCCCUGCCCAGCCCGCGCCUGAGAAGGUCAAGGUGGAGGUGAAGAAGUUUGUGAAGAUCGGCCGCCCAGGCUACAAAGGUGAGUCUGCCCGGAGCGCGGCCGGCCACAGCCGCUGCCGCCGCAUGAAUGGGUUAUUUAGGCUCCAGUGCAGGAGGCGCAGCCCUGAUACCCUCGUUCCUGAGCCACUGUUUUCUGGCCUUGGUGGCCGUCCCUCACCCACCUGCAGCCUCUGGCGUUGUGUCUGGGAGCUGUCAGGCUGUGCCCGAUAAGCACCCGUCUCACCCAGCGGCCCAUUUCCCAGCUGAGCCACAGUCUGUGCCCUCCUGUCCGGGUGUUGUGGAAGCUUCUGGGAAUUCUUGCC
Molecule: small RNA, 724 nt
Filed under: Pongo abelii (Sumatran orangutan)
Lineage: Eukaryota; Metazoa; Chordata; Mammalia; Primates; Hominidae
Description: retained intron
Source: RNAcentral